AUUGAACGCUGGCGGCAGGCUUAACACAUGCAAGUCGAGCGGGCGAGGUUGCUUCGGUAACCGAGCUAGCGGCGGACGGGUGAGUAAUGCUUAGGAAUCUGCCUAUUAGUGGGGGACAACAUUCCGAAAGGAAUGCUAAUACCGCAUACGCCCUACGGGGGAAAGCAGGGGAUCUUCGGACCUUGCGCUAAUAGAUGAGCCGAAGUCAGAUUAGCUAGUUGGUGGGGUAAAGGCCUACCAAGGCGACGAUCUGUAGCGGGUCUGAGAGGAUGAUCCGCCACACUGGGACUGAGACACGGCCCAGACUCCUACGGGAGGCAGCAGUGGGGAAUAUUGGACAAUGGGCGCAAGCCUGAUCCAGCCAUGCCGCGUGUGUGAAGAAGGCCUUUUGGUUGUAAAGCACUUUAAGCGAGGAGGAGGCUACUUGGAUUAAUACUCUAGGAUAGUGGACGUUACUCGCAGAAUAAGCACCGGCUAACUCUGUGCCAGCCGCCGCAGUAA
Molecule: ribosomal RNA, 501 nt
Filed under: uncultured bacterium
Lineage: Bacteria
Description: partial 16S ribosomal RNA
Rfam family: Bacterial small subunit ribosomal RNA
Source: RNAcentral